UACGGGGGGGGCAAGCGUUGUUCGGAAUUACUGGGCGUAAAGGGCUCGUAGGUGGCCAACUAAGUCAGACGUGAAAUCCCUCGGCUUAACCGGGGAACUGCGUCUGAUACUGGAUGGCUUGAGUUCGGGAGAGGGAUGCGGAAUUCCAGGUGUAGCGGUGAAAUGCGUAGAUAUCUGGAGGAACACCGGUGGCGAAGGCGGGACUCUGGGCCGAUACUGACGCUGAGGAGCGAAAGCGUGGGGAGCGAACAGG
This 253-nucleotide ribosomal RNA is filed under the name uncultured bacterium. RNAcentral describes it as "partial 16S ribosomal RNA". It matches the Rfam family "Bacterial small subunit ribosomal RNA", at positions 524 to 776 of the family's 1533-position model. The record is from RNAcentral.